UGCCAGCAGCCGCGGUAAUACGGAGGGUGCAAGCGUUAAUCGGAAUUACUGGGCGUAAAGGGUGCGUGGGCGGCCUGUUAAGUCGGAUGUGAAAGCCCUGGGCUCAACCUGGGAAUUGCAUUCGAUACUGGCAGGCUAGAAUCUGAUAGAGGGUAGUGGAAUUCCCGGUGUAGCGGUGAAAUGCGUAGAGAUCGGGAGGAACAUCAGUGGCGAAGGCGGCUCCCUGGCCAAAGACUGACGGCUCAUGUGCGAAAGUGUGGGUAGCGAACAGGAUUAGAUA
RNAcentral lists this ribosomal RNA (280 nucleotides) under uncultured bacterium. Its description in RNAcentral is "partial 16S ribosomal RNA". It matches the Rfam family "Bacterial small subunit ribosomal RNA", at positions 506 to 784 of the family's 1533-position model. The record is from RNAcentral.